UACUGAGUCACCCCAGUUUGUCUUCUCGG
RNAcentral lists this non-coding RNA (29 nucleotides) under Mus musculus (house mouse). Lineage: Eukaryota; Metazoa; Chordata; Mammalia; Rodentia; Muridae. The record is from RNAcentral.